RNAcentral lists this ribosomal RNA (445 nucleotides) under uncultured bacterium. RNAcentral's name for it is "partial 16S ribosomal RNA". It matches the Rfam family "Bacterial small subunit ribosomal RNA", at positions 354 to 796 of the family's 1533-position model. The record is from RNAcentral.
GUGAGGAAUAUUGGUCAAUGGACGGAAGUCUGAACCAGCCAAGUAGCGUGCAGGAUGACGGCCCUAUGGGUUGUAAACUGCUUUUAUGCGGGGGUAAAGUGAGUGACGUGUCAUUCAUUGCAAGUACCGCAAGAAUAAGGACCGGCUAAUUCCGUGCCAGCAGCCGCGGUAAUACGGAAGGUCCUGGUGUUAUCCGGAUUUAUUGGGUUUAAAGGGAGCGUAGGCCGUCAGGCAAGCGUGUUGUGAAAUGUCGUGGCUCAACCAUGGACUUGCAGCGCGAACUGCCCGACUUGAGUGCGCAGAAAGCAGGCGGAAUUUGUGGUGUAGCGGUGAAAUGCUUAGAUAUCACGAAGAACCCCGAUUGCGAAGGCAGCCUGCUGUAGCGCUACUGACGCUGAAGCUCGAAAGUGCGGGUAUCGAACAGGAUUAGAUACCCGAGUAGUCC